This 232-nucleotide unclassified non-coding RNA is filed under the name Sakaguchia dacryoidea. RNAcentral's name for it is "partial internal transcribed spacer region". The stretch from base 1 to 47 matches the Rfam family "Eukaryotic small subunit ribosomal RNA", at positions 1785 to 1831 of the family's 1831-position model. The record is from RNAcentral. Lineage: Eukaryota; Fungi; Basidiomycota; Cystobasidiomycetes; Sakaguchiales; Sakaguchiaceae.
AAAGUCGUAACAAGGUUUCCGUAGGUGAACCUGCGGAAGGAUCAUUAGUGAAAUGUUAGGACGCUCUUUUUAGAGGUCCGACCAACUUCAUUUUACCUUUCACACUGUGCACAUCACUACUUUUUUUACACCCAUUUUUAAACACUUAUAAAAGUCAUAAGAAUGUAAAACAAGUCUCUUAACUGAGCAUAAACAUAAACAAAACUUUCAGCAACGGAUCUCUUGGCUCUCC